GACGAACGCUGGCGGCGUGCUUAACACAUGCAAGUCGAACGAAAAGGCCCUGCUCUUGUGCGUUGCUCGAUUGUCGAUCGGGUGAGUAACACGUGAGUAACCCCCCCUUGACAUUGGGAUAACUUCAGGAAACUGCGGCUAUUAUCCGAUAGGAUCUCCUGCUGCAUAUUGUGGGUUGGAAAGUUUCGGCGGUUUGGUCUCGACUCGCGGCUUGCCAGCUUGUUGGGGGGGUAGUUGCUGACGAAGGCUUAGACGGGUAGCCGGCCUGAGAGGGUGACCGGCAACAUAGGGACUGAGAUCCGGACCAGACUCCUACGGGAGGCAGCAGUGGGGAAUAUUGCACAAUAGGCGGAAGCCUGAUGCAGCAACGCCGCGUGCAGGAUGACGGGCUUCGGGUUGUAAACCGCUUUGGCCGGUGACGAAGCGUGAGUGACGGUGAUGGGUAAAGAAGCACCGGCUAACUACGUG
RNAcentral lists this ribosomal RNA (468 nucleotides) under uncultured bacterium. RNAcentral describes it as "partial 16S ribosomal RNA". It matches the Rfam family "Bacterial small subunit ribosomal RNA", at positions 28 to 507 of the family's 1533-position model. The record is from RNAcentral.